This 255-nucleotide ribosomal RNA is filed under the name uncultured bacterium. RNAcentral describes it as "partial 16S ribosomal RNA". It matches the Rfam family "Bacterial small subunit ribosomal RNA", at positions 524 to 776 of the family's 1533-position model. The record is from RNAcentral.
UACAGAGGAGCCAAGCGUUGUCCGGAUUGACUGGGCGUAAAGCGCACGCAGGCGGAUGCGCGCGUGGGGUGUGAAAUCUGGCCGCUUAACGGCCAGGCGCCAUCCCAUACGGCGCGUCUGGAGUGAUGCAGAGGUCGAUGGAAUUGCCGGUGUAGUGGUGAAAAUGCGUAGAGAUCGGCAGGAACACCCAAGGGGGAAGCCAGCUGGCUGGGCAUUUGCUGACGCUCAUGUGCGACAGCGUGGGGAGCGAACUGG